UGAAUUUGUUUGCUUCUUCGUCAGCUUAUUCGUUUGCCGACUAGAAAAAUGGUGAACAGCCAUCAAAAUACUGAUUCAAAAUACACACAAAUGGGUGCGCGCAGCAAAAUUCAGCCCUAAUGGCGAAUGUAUGCGAACGUUCACCGGGGGAAGAGGUAUGGGACGACAGCUGGCAUGGCAUCCAGACGGCAAUCUGGUGGCUUUAGCAUUAAGUUGUAACCGCGUUAAGAUAUUUGACAAAGCUGAAGGCGAGCUAAUACAGUGCAUUCGUCGCCGGAGAAUGAUGUUGCAUUUCACCCAAGUGGAAAUUUCUUGGUGACUGGCGGCGAUGACGAUACAAUAAGAUUGCUUGAUUUGGGAAAAUUUUCCAAAACGGAUCCAGGCUUUGAAAAAAAAAAAUAUUAGGGAGUAUAGAGGAGCUUUUUCAGAUUCUAAAUCUGAAGACCCCACCCUCCGGAGGCUUAUAGUUUUAAAGUAAUUCGCAUUUAAAGUUGCAAAAAAUACCGAAUUUAACCUCACCUUUUGCUUUGUACACCAAUUGAAGUGAAAUGUCAGUGCUGCCAUACAUAUGAAAAAAUGCCUCAAAAA
Molecule: long non-coding RNA, 588 nt
Organism: Rhagoletis pomonella (apple maggot)
Lineage: Eukaryota; Metazoa; Arthropoda; Insecta; Diptera; Tephritidae
Exons: 2
Source: RefSeq, a predicted model, not a curated record